CCUACGGGAGGCUGCAGUGGGGAAUGUUGCGCAAUGAUCGUAAGAGUGACGCAGCGACGCCGCGUGAAUGACGAAGGCCUUCGGGUCGUAAAGUUCUUUCGACAGGGAAGAAAAUGCCUAUAAGUAACUGUGUAUGUAUUGACGGUACCUGUAUAAGCAGCCCCGGCUAACUCCGUGCCAGCAGCCGCGGUAAUACGGAGGGGGCGAGCGUUGUUCGGAGGGACUGGGCGUAAAGAGCACGUAGGCGGUGUUGUAAGUCAUUAGUCAAAGACUAGAGCUCAACUUUAGUAAGGCUAGUGAUACUAUAAUACUAGAGUAUCAGAGAGGAUUGCAGAAUUCCUGGUGUAGCGGUGAAAUGCGUAGAUAUCAGGAGGAAUACCGUUAGCGAAGGCGGCAAUCUGGCUGGAAACUGACGCUGAGGUGCGAAAGCGUGGGUAGCAAACAGGAUUAGAUACCCCAGUAGUC
This 465-nucleotide ribosomal RNA is filed under the name uncultured bacterium. RNAcentral's name for it is "partial 16S ribosomal RNA". It matches the Rfam family "Bacterial small subunit ribosomal RNA", at positions 338 to 795 of the family's 1533-position model. The record is from RNAcentral.